RNAcentral lists this ribosomal RNA (200 nucleotides) under uncultured bacterium. RNAcentral describes it as "partial 16S ribosomal RNA". It matches the Rfam family "Bacterial small subunit ribosomal RNA", at positions 28 to 226 of the family's 1533-position model. The record is from RNAcentral.
GAUGAACGCUGGCGGCGUGCUUAACACAUGCAAGUCGAACGGUGAAGCAGGAGCUUGCUCCUGUGGAUCAGUGGCGAACGGGUGAGUAACACGUGAGUAACCUGCCCCAGACUCUGGGAUAAGCGUUGGAAACGACGUCUAAUACCGGAUACGGGACGAGAAGGCAUCUUCAUCGUCUGGAAAGAAUUUCGGUCUGGGAU